This 400-nucleotide ribosomal RNA is filed under the name uncultured Oscillospiraceae bacterium. Its description in RNAcentral is "bacterial SSU rRNA". It matches the Rfam family "Bacterial small subunit ribosomal RNA", at positions 356 to 774 of the family's 1533-position model. Lineage: Bacteria; Bacillati; Bacillota; Clostridia; Eubacteriales; Oscillospiraceae. The record is from RNAcentral.
GGGGAAUAUUGCACAAUGGGGGAAACCCUGAUGCAGCGACGCCGCGUGAGGGAAGAAGGUUUUCGGAUUGUAAACCUCUGUCCUCUGUGACGAUAAUGACGGUAGCAGAGGAGGAAGCCACGGCUAACUACGUGCCAGCAGCCGCGGUAAUACGUAGGUGGCAAGCGUUGUCCGGAAUUACUGGGUGUAAAGGGAGCGUAGGCGGGUGUGCAAGUUGAAUGUCAAAUCUAUGGGCUCAACCCAUAGUCGCGUUCAAAACUGCAUAUCUUGAGUGAAGUAGAGGUAGGCGGAAUUCCUAGUGUAGCGGUGAAAUGCGUAAAUAUUAGGAGGAACACCAGUGGCGAAGGCGGCCUACUGGGCUUUAACUGACGCUGAGGCUCGAAAGCGUGGGUAGCAAACA